ACACGUUGGCUCCAAAAAGGGCGCAGUCCGAUCUCAAACAGGCAACGGGGUUUGAGG
RNAcentral lists this non-coding RNA (57 nucleotides) under unclassified sequences. The record is from RNAcentral.